RNAcentral lists this ribosomal RNA (493 nucleotides) under uncultured bacterium. Its description in RNAcentral is "partial 16S ribosomal RNA". It matches the Rfam family "Bacterial small subunit ribosomal RNA", at positions 29 to 507 of the family's 1533-position model. The record is from RNAcentral.
AGUGAACGCUGGCGGUAGGCCUAACACAUGCCAGUCGAACGGCAGCACAGUAAGAGCUUGCUCUUACGGGUGGCGAGUGGCGGACGGGUGAGGAAUACAUCGGAAUCUACUUUUUCGUGGGGGGAUAACGUAGGGAAACUUACGCUAAUACCGCAUACGACCUACGGGUGAAAGCAGGGGAUCUUCGGACCUUGCGCGAUUGAAUGAGCCGAUGUCGGAUUAGCUAGUUGGCGGGGUAAAGGCCCACCAAGGCGACGAUCCGUAGCUGGUCUGAGAGGAUGAUCAGCCACACUGGAACUGAGACACGGUCCAGACUCCUACGGGAGGCAGCAGUGGGGAAUAUUGGACAAUGGGCGCAAGCCUGAUCCAGCCAUACCGCGUGGGUGAAGAAGGCCUUCGGGUUGUAAAGCCCUUUUGUUGGGAAAGAAAAGCAGCAGGUUAAUACCCCGCUGUUCUGACGGUACCCAAAGAAUAAGCACCGGCUAACUUCGUG